RNAcentral lists this ribosomal RNA (253 nucleotides) under uncultured bacterium. RNAcentral's name for it is "partial 16S ribosomal RNA". It matches the Rfam family "Bacterial small subunit ribosomal RNA", at positions 524 to 776 of the family's 1533-position model. The record is from RNAcentral.
UACAGAGGGGGCUAGCGUUGUUCGGAAUUACUGGGCGUAAAGGGCUCGUAGGUGGCCAACUAAGUCGGACGUGAAAUCCCUCGGCUUAACCGGGGAACUGCGUCCGAUACUGGUUGGCUUGAGUUUGGGAGAGGGAUGCGGAAUUCCAGGUGUAGCGGUGAAAUGCGUAGAUAUCUGGAGGAAUACCGGUGGCGAAGGCGGCAUCCUGGACCGACAUUGACGCUGAACGGCGAAAGCUAGGGGAGCAAACGGG